UAGGGUGGUUUUAGCGGUGGGGCUCACCUGUUCCCAUUCCGAACACAGAAGUUAAGCCCACCAGCGCCGAUGGUACUGCGA
Molecule: ribosomal RNA, 81 nt
Filed under: Chryseobacterium urinae
Lineage: Bacteria; Pseudomonadati; Bacteroidota; Flavobacteriia; Flavobacteriales; Weeksellaceae
Source: RNAcentral